GGUGAACAGACAGAAAUCACCAAAUAUACCCAGCAGGAGUUUGAAAGACUUCAAAAUGAAAAAGUCUUAUGUAGGGUUUGCUUUGAGGGAGAGAUCAGUGUGGUUCUACUUCCCUGUAGACAUCGCAUCCUUUGCAGUGCCUGCUGUGAAAAGUGUAAGAAGUGUCCAAUUUGUCGAAUCUGUAUUGAGGAGCGCUUGCCGGUGUAUGAUGUUUAGGUUCUAACUUGUCCNNNNNNNNAUGGACAAGAAAAGCAUAGACAAGGAAAAAUAACUUUUAACAGGGAAGUUCUCUUUUUGGUGGUUCGCUGGAACUUCGACGACAAUGUGUGUAUGUUCAAAUUAACACGAGAAAGCAUUAGGCUACACAGAUAACACAGUUGCUAUACUUGCAUAUCAACACCUCUUUUUAUGUUGUUCCUAAAAAAAAUGUAAAUAAUUCCCGACUUUGAUAAGGUUUUGUUAUGCUGCAGAGAUGCAACAGAAAUAUAAGAGCUGUAUAUCAUACAAAAUGUAUAGCAAUAAGUGUGCAUACAUUCAGAGAUUGUGCUGUAUGGUGUGUGCAACAAUACAUUAGCAUGACUCGGUAGCCAAUGAAGAUCCUUUUCUUUUUUUUAGGAACAAC
Molecule: unclassified non-coding RNA, 622 nt
Filed under: Hevea brasiliensis (rubber tree)
Lineage: Eukaryota; Viridiplantae; Streptophyta; Magnoliopsida; Malpighiales; Euphorbiaceae
Source: RNAcentral